AAUCGAUGAUCCUCGAUAUACCUCACCAUUUUUUGCUUUUUCAGCCUGUAUACCUCCGUCGCAAACCUACCACCUGAGUGUCCCAAAGUAAGUUCAACUGGGCCCCAACACGCCAAUACGUCAGGUCAAGGUGCAGCCCAUAAAAUGGGAAGCAAUGGGCUACAAUUUCUAAAAUAGAACAAACAUAAAACUACAUGAAACAUAGUCAUAAGGCGGAUUUAGUAGUAAAAGAAGAACAGCAAGCUUCUUUUAACAGGGCCCUGGGACGUGUACAAACCGCCCGUCACCCUCUUCAACAGCACCCAUCUAGCUAUAUAACAUCUUCUUAGCACCCUAGAAGAGGCAAGUCGUAACAUGGUAAGUGUACUGGAAAGUGCACUUGGAAAACAAAGUAUAGCUUAAUUAAAGCAUUUCGCUUACACCGAAGAAACAUCUGUUAAACUCAGUUUACUUUGAGCCCUAAAUCUAGCC
Molecule: ribosomal RNA, 471 nt
Filed under: Mantidactylus femoralis
Lineage: Eukaryota; Metazoa; Chordata; Amphibia; Anura; Mantellidae
Description: partial 12S ribosomal RNA
Rfam family: Bacterial small subunit ribosomal RNA (bases 1-395)
Source: RNAcentral